This 328-nucleotide unclassified non-coding RNA is filed under the name soil metagenome. RNAcentral describes it as "partial contains 5.8S ribosomal RNA, internal transcribed spacer 2, and large subunit ribosomal RNA". The stretch from base 1 to 119 matches the Rfam family "5.8S ribosomal RNA", at positions 35 to 154 of the family's 154-position model. The record is from RNAcentral.
GAUGAAGAACGUAGCGAAAUGCGAUAAGUAAUGUGAAUUGCAGAAUUCAGUGAAUCAUCGAAUCUUUGAACGCACAUUGCGCCCUUGGUAUUCCGAGGGGCAUGCCUGUUCGAGCGUCAUUAUAACCCCUCAAGCUCAGCUUGGUGUUGGGGCCUGCUGCACUGGCAGCCCUUAAAAUCAGUGGCGGCGCCAUCUGGCUCUAAGCGUAGUAAUUCUUCUCGCUAUGGAGUCCUGGUGGAUGCUUGCCAUCAACCCCCAAUUUUUCUAUGGUUGACCUCGGAUCAGGUAGGGAUACCCGCUGAACUUAAGCAUAUCAAUAAGCGGAGGA